This 544-nucleotide ribosomal RNA is filed under the name bacterium A3T_VP5_B4. RNAcentral describes it as "bacterial SSU rRNA". It matches the Rfam family "Bacterial small subunit ribosomal RNA", at positions 337 to 872 of the family's 1533-position model. The record is from RNAcentral.
UAAUACGGGAGGCAGCAGUAGGGAAUCUUCCGCAAUGGACGAAAGUCUGACGGAGCAACGCCGCGUGAACGAUGAAGGCCUUCGGGUCGUAAAGUUCUGUUGUUAGGGAAGAACAAGUACCAGAGUAACUGCUGGUACCUUGACGGUACCUAACCAGAAAGCCACGGCUAACUACGUGCCAGCAGCCGCGGUAAUACGUAGGUGGCAAGCGUUGUCCGGAAUUAUUGGGCGUAAAGCGCGCGCAGGUGGUUUCUUAAGUCUGAUGUGAAAGCCCACGGCUCAACCGUGGAGGGUCAUUGGAAACUGGGGAACUUGAGUGCAAAAGAGGAAAGUGGAAUUCCAAGUGUAACGGUGAAAUGCCUAAAGAUUUGGAGGAACACCAGUGGCGAAGGCGACUUUCUGGUCUGUAACUGACACUGAGGCGCGAAAGCGUGGGGAGCGAACAGGAUUAGAUACCCUGGUAGUCCACGCCGUAAACGAUGAGUGCUAAGUGUUAGAGGGUUUCCGCCCUUUAGUGCUGCAGCAAACGCAUUAAGCACUCCGC